GGGUGUCUGCUUCCUCUCCCUCACUGCUCCAUGUGCAUCCCUCCCUAAGCUGCACACUUGAUCAAAGAGGAUGCUUUCCACCCCCAUAGCGAAGGGCCAUUUCCUAGGUCAAGGGAAGUAGCUGUGCUCCCUUGCUAGGACCUCCAAACAAGCUCUCAAGUUAUACUAUAGUGAUAAAAACAGCAUGGCAUUUGCACAAAAGCAGAAAAAUCAAUAGCAUUCAUGCAGAUU
RNAcentral lists this small RNA (231 nucleotides) under Chinchilla lanigera (long-tailed chinchilla). RNAcentral describes it as "7SK RNA (ENSCLAG00000021888.1)". It matches the Rfam family "7SK RNA", at positions 81 to 331 of the family's 331-position model. Rfam says of the family: 7SK was discovered as an abundant small nuclear RNA in the mid-70s but a possible function has only recently been suggested. The record is from RNAcentral. Lineage: Eukaryota; Metazoa; Chordata; Mammalia; Rodentia; Chinchillidae.